AGUUUGAUCCUGGCUCAGAUUGAACGCUGGCGGCAUGCUUUACACAUGCAAGUCGAACGGGGUUAAGGGGCUUGCUCCUUAAUCUAGUGGCGAACGGGUGAGUAAUGCAUCGGAACGUACCCGGGAGUGGGGGAUAACGCACCGAAAGGUGUGCUAAUACCGCAUAUUCUGUGAGCAGGAAAGCAGGGGACCUUAGGGCCUUGUGCUUCCGGAGCGGCCGAUGUCGGAUUAGCUAGUUGGUGAGGUAAAGGCUCACCAAGGCGACGAUCCGUAGCGGGUCUGAGAGGAUGAUCCGCCACACUGGGACUGAGACACGGCCCAGACUCCUACGGGAGGCAGCAGUGGGGAAUUUUGGACAAUGGGCGCAAGCCUGAUCCAGCCAUGCCGCGUGUCUGAAGAAGGCCUUCGGGUUGUAAAGGACUUUUGUCAGGAAGGAAAACCUAUUGGCUAAUAUCCAGUGGGGAUGACAGUACCUGAAGAAUAA
RNAcentral lists this ribosomal RNA (484 nucleotides) under uncultured bacterium. RNAcentral describes it as "bacterial SSU rRNA". It matches the Rfam family "Bacterial small subunit ribosomal RNA", at positions 10 to 489 of the family's 1533-position model. The record is from RNAcentral.